This 301-nucleotide ribosomal RNA is filed under the name uncultured bacterium. Its description in RNAcentral is "partial 16S ribosomal RNA". It matches the Rfam family "Bacterial small subunit ribosomal RNA", at positions 509 to 807 of the family's 1533-position model. The record is from RNAcentral.
CAGUAGCCACGGUAAUACGAAGGGUGCAAGCGUUAAUCGGGAUUACUGGGCGUAAAGCGCACGCAGGCGGUUUGUUAAGUCAGAUGUGAAAUCCCCGAGCUUAACCUGGGAACUGCAUUUGAAACUGGCAGGCUAGAGUCUUGUAGAGGGGGGUAGAAUUCCAGGUGUAGCGGUGAAAUGCGUAGAGAUCUGGAGGAAUACCGGUGGCGAAGGCGGCCCCCUGGACAAAGACUGACGCUCAGGUGCGAAAGCGUGGGGAGCAAACAGGAUUAGAUACCCGAGUAGUCCCUGUCUCUUAUAC